UACGGGGGGGGCAAGCGUUGUUCGGAAUUACUGGGCGUAAAGGGCUCGUAGGCGGCCAACUAAGUCGGAUGUGAAAUCCCCAGGCUUAACCUGGGAACUGCAUCCGAUACUGGAUGGCUUGAAUCCGGGAGAGGGAUGCAGAAUUCCAGGUGUAGCGGUGAAAUUCGUAGAUAUGGGGAGGAACACCGGUGGCGAAGGCGGUCACCUGGACGGAUACUGACGCUGAGACGCGAAAGCGUGGGGAGCAAACAGG
This 253-nucleotide ribosomal RNA is filed under the name uncultured bacterium. RNAcentral's name for it is "partial 16S ribosomal RNA". It matches the Rfam family "Bacterial small subunit ribosomal RNA", at positions 524 to 776 of the family's 1533-position model. The record is from RNAcentral.